AACGCACAUUGCGCUCUGGGGUAUUCCUCAGAGCAUGCUUGUUUGAGAACCGUGAUUAUCUAUCAAGUAUUCUUGCUAAUCUCCGGAUUGCGGGUACUUGGAUUUUGAGCGUUCUAGUUUCCAUACUGAAGGAACAUUGACGUCGCUCCAAAUGCAUCUGACUUACCUUGGUUCCUGAUUCCUGUCAACUUUGGUUGAUGUUGUGAUAAGGCAGUCACCGACGUGAUAAGCAUGGGUAACUAUGUUAGCGUCAAGAUGGCUGUUCCAUGGGAUGUCAUCCUGCUAGCACGUUCUAGCUUGUAUUUUAACAAUGGUCUCAAAUCAAGCAAGAGGACCCGCUGAACUUAA
Molecule: unclassified non-coding RNA, 348 nt
Filed under: uncultured fungus
Lineage: Eukaryota; Fungi
Description: partial contains 5.8S ribosomal RNA, internal transcribed spacer 2, and large subunit ribosomal RNA
Source: RNAcentral